UUGUAAGUUUCACUGGAAAACAGUUGCC
Molecule: non-coding RNA, 28 nt
Filed under: Mus musculus (house mouse)
Lineage: Eukaryota; Metazoa; Chordata; Mammalia; Rodentia; Muridae
Source: RNAcentral